Molecule: long non-coding RNA, 809 nt
Organism: Mercenaria mercenaria
Lineage: Eukaryota; Metazoa; Mollusca; Bivalvia; Venerida; Veneridae
Exons: 2
Source: RefSeq, a predicted model, not a curated record
UGAAAAAAAAACCCACAAAAAGUAAUGGCGUUAUUAGGGUUGGAUGAAAAGAAACAUUGAUUGAAACAUUUUAUCGCUAAAGUACAUGGAAUAAGACGGAGGCCCUUUUAUUUGAUUCUAUAGUUGAAAAAGGCAAUAUGGAGAAUAUGCUGGCAGUUUUGUUGCUAUAGCAAAAAUAACUACUCCAGCAGGGUUGUAUGCGGCUCUAAAAGCCCGGCAAUGGAAAAUGUGGCCUUCGGUAUUGUUCAAGGACAGUUUCUAGAGGAUGAAAUAAAGGACUCGUGGUAAUACUAUACAGACCACCAUUAAGAUGAAUGCCAAGACAGCAGUAACAUCGGUCAAAUAAAUAAAAUGUUGAGGAAUUCCAUAGGUGCUGUUUAACAUGUCAUUCUAAUGAUGUAACAAUUUUCAUGGAUCAUGGGAAAUGAAUAUUCUAUUCAGAAGGACAGUGCAGGUUGUUGUAAUGCUAAAAAAACUGCUUGUUGGAUUGUCAUCGUUGGACGCAUUUGAGACUGAACACUUAAUGUUUUCCAGUGAGAAAUGUUUCGGCACGGAAUUACGUACACUAAUAAUAUGGAGAAAAAAAGGAUGAAAAACGUUUUUCACAUGAUCUAUAAUUUCAGUGUUGCAUUAAUUAUUUCCGAAUUUGAAACAUUCAAGAAGUAACAUUGCAGACUUGAUGUUUAUACGCGGUUCUUUUUAUUCUCGUGCCACUUUACAUAUUCGAAGUUUAUAAAGGUCCAUUUGAUUUCAAUAUAAUGUUUGUGAUUGAAUUGUGUAUUAAACUUCAAAUAAACUUCAUAGUUGCA